RNAcentral lists this ribosomal RNA (427 nucleotides) under uncultured bacterium. RNAcentral describes it as "bacterial SSU rRNA". It matches the Rfam family "Bacterial small subunit ribosomal RNA", at positions 355 to 774 of the family's 1533-position model. The record is from RNAcentral.
UGGGGAAUAUUGCGCAAUGGGCGAAAGCCUGACGCAGCCAUACCGCGUGUGUGAAGAAGGCUCUAGGGUUGUAAAGCACUUUCAGUAGGGAGAAAACGCUGAUGGUUAAUAGCCAUUAGAAUUGAUGUUACCUACAGAAGAAGCACCGGCUAACUCCGUGCCAGCAGCCGCGGUAAUACGGAGGGUGCAAGCGUUAAUCGGAAUUACUGGGCGUAAAGCGCGCGUAGGCGGUUUGUUAAGUCGGAUGUGAAAGCCCCGGGCUCAACCUGGGAAUUGCAUUCGAUACUGAUGGACUAGAGUACGAGAGAGGGAGGUAGAAUUCCACGUGUAGCGGUGAAAUGCGUAGAUAUGUGGAGGAAUACCGGUGGCGAAGGCGACCUCCUGGCUCGAUACUGACGCUGAGGUGCGAAAGCGUGGGGAGCAAACA